Small nuclear RNA from Otolemur garnettii (small-eared galago), 103 nucleotides. The record is from Ensembl. NCBI's taxonomy places the organism in Eukaryota, Metazoa, Chordata, Mammalia, Primates, Galagidae.
UCACUUUGGCAGCACAUAUAAUAAAAUUGGAAUGAUACAGAGAACAUUAGCAUGGCCCCUGUGCAAAGAUAGCACGAAAAUUCAUGAAGCAGUUCAUAUUUUU